This 1506-nucleotide ribosomal RNA is filed under the name metagenome. RNAcentral describes it as "bacterial SSU rRNA". It matches the Rfam family "Bacterial small subunit ribosomal RNA". The record is from RNAcentral.
AGAGUUUGAUCAUGGCUCAGGACGAACGCUGGCGGCGUGCCUAAUACAUGCAAGUAGAACGCUGAAGAGAGGAGCUUGCUCUUCUUGGAUGAGUUGCGAACGGGUGAGUAACGCGUAGGUAACCUGCCUUGUAGCGGGGGAUAACUAUUGGAAACGAUAGCUAAUACCGCAUAACAAUGGAUGACACAUGUCAUUUAUUUGAAAGGGGCAAUUGCUCCACUACAAGAUGGACCUGCGUUGUAUUAGCUAGUAGGUGAGGUAAUGGCUCACCUAGGCGACGAUACAUAGCCGACCUGAGAGGGUGAUCGGCCACACUGGGACUGAGACACGGCCCAGACUCCUACGGGAGGCAGCAGUAGGGAAUCUUCGGCAAUGGGGGCAACCCUGACCGAGCAACGCCGCGUGAGUGAAGAAGGUUUUCGGAUCGUAAAGCUCUGUUGUAAGUCAAGAACGGGUGUGAGAGUGGAAAGUUCACACUGUGACGGUAGCUUACCAGAAAGGGACGGCUAACUACGUGCCAGCAGCCGCGGUAAUACGUAGGUCCCGAGCGUUGUCCGGAUUUAUUGGGCGUAAAGCGAGCGCAGGCGGUUUGAUAAGUCUGAAGUUAAAGGCUGUGGCUCAACCAUAGUUCGCUUUGGAAACUGUCAAACUUGAGUGCAGAAGGGGAGAGUGGAAUUCCAUGUGUAGCGGUGAAAUGCGUAGAUAUAUGGAGGAACACCGGUGGCGAAAGCGGCUCUCUGGUCUGUAACUGACGCUGAGGCUCGAAAGCGUGGGGAGCGAACAGGAUUAGAUACCCUGGUAGUCCACGCCGUAAACGAUGAGUGCUAGGUGUUGGAUCCUUUCCGGGAUUCAAUGCCGCAGCUAACGCAUUAAGCACUCCGCCUGGGGAGUACGACCGCAAGGUUGAAACUCAAAGGAAUUGACGGGGGCCCGCACAAGCGGUGGAGCAUGUGGUUUAAUUCGAAGCAACGCGAAGAACCUUACCAGGUUUUGACAUCCCGAUGCUAUUUCUAGAGAUAGAAAGUUACUUCGGUACAUCGGUGACAGGUGGUGCAUGGUUGUCGUCAGCUCGUGUCGUGAGAUGUUGGGUUAAGUCCCGCAACUAGCGCAACCCCUAUUGUUAGUUGCCAUCAUUCAGUUGGGCACUCUAGCGAGACUGCCGGUAAUAAACCGGAGGAAGGUGGGGAUGACGUCAAAUCAUCAUGCCCCUUAUGACCUGGGCUACACACGUGCUACAAUGGUUGGUACAACGAGUUGCGAGUCGGUGACGGCGAGCUAAUCUCUUAAAGCCAAUCUCAGUUCGGAUUGUAGGCUGCAACUCGCCUACAUGAAGUCGGAAUCGCUAGUAAUCGCGGAUCAGCACGCCGCGGUGAAUACGUUCCCGGGCCUUGUACACACCGCCCGUCACACCACGAGAGUUUGUAACACCCGAAGUCGGUGAGGUAACCUUUUGGAGCCAGCCGCCUAAGGUGGGACAGAUGAUUGGGGUGAAGUCGUAACAAGGUA